This 891-nucleotide non-coding RNA is filed under the name Neobythites sivicola. Its description in RNAcentral is "partial 12S rRNA". It matches the Rfam family "Bacterial small subunit ribosomal RNA", at positions 219 to 1521 of the family's 1533-position model. Lineage: Eukaryota; Metazoa; Chordata; Actinopteri; Ophidiiformes; Ophidiidae. The record is from RNAcentral.
CCACCGGUGAACAUGCCCUCAACAGCCCUACCGGUUGAGAGGUGCUGGUAUCAGGCACAACCCCGUAGCCCAUGACACCUUGUGCAACCACACCCCCAAGGGUACUCAGCAGUGAUAAACAUUAAGCCAUGAGCGAAAGCUUGACUUAGUUAGAGCUAAGAGGGCUGGUCAAUCCCGUGCCAGCUACCGCGGUUAGACGGGCUAGAGCCCAAGUUGAUAGGCAUCGGCGUAAAGGGUGGUUAGGGGCCUUGCCCAAACUAAAGUGGAACGACUUCGCGGCCGUGAUACGUAUCGGAAGCACUGAAGACCUGUGACGAAAGUAACUUUAAUUAUACCCUGACCCCACGGAAGCUAAGAAACAAACUGGGAUUAGAUACCCCACUAUGCUUAGCCCUAAAUAAAGAUGUAAUCUACUUCACUGUCCGCCCGGGGACUACGAGCAAUAGCUUAAAACCCAAAGGACUUGGCGGUGCUCUAGACCCACCUAGAGGAGCCUGUUCUAGAACCGAUAUUCCCCGUUCAACCUCACCACUUCUUGUUCACCCCGCCUAUAUACCUCCGUUGUCAGCGUACCCCGUGAGGGCCGCAAAGUGGGCAGAAUUGGUCCCAACCCCAAAACGACAGGUCAAGGUGUAGCUCAUGAAGUGGAAUGUAAUGGGCUACAUUUUCUUCCCAAAGAAUACUACGAAAGAUAAACUGAAACGUUUAACGGAAGGAGGAUUUAGCAGUAAGCAGAAAAUAGAGCGUUCUGCUGAACACGGCUCUUGAGCGCGCACAAACCGCCCGUCACUCUCUCCAAUAACCCCUUAUAAACAUUAAAUAAAAUAUGACUUUGCUAGAGGAGAGGCAAGUCGUAACAUGGUAAGUGUACCGGAAGGUGUACUUGGCAAA